This 72-nucleotide transfer RNA is filed under the name Bos taurus (domestic cattle). It matches the Rfam family "tRNA". Rfam says of the family: Transfer RNA (tRNA) molecules are approximately 80 nucleotides in length. Their secondary structure includes four short double-helical elements and three loops (D, anti-codon, and T loops). Further hydrogen bonds mediate the characteristic L-shaped molecular structure. tRNAs have two regions of fundamental functional importance: the anti-codon, which is responsible for specific mRNA codon recognition, and the 3' end, to which the tRNAs corresponding amino acid is attached (by aminoacyl-tRNA synthetases). tRNAs cope with the degeneracy of the genetic code in two manners: having more than one tRNA (with a specific anti-codon) for a particular amino acid; and 'wobble' base-pairing, i.e. permitting non-standard base-pairing at the 3rd anti-codon position. RNAcentral also lists the same sequence under 4 other names. The record is from Rfam by way of RNAcentral. Lineage: Eukaryota; Metazoa; Chordata; Mammalia; Artiodactyla; Bovidae.
ACCCUGGUGGUCCAGUGGUUAAGACUCUGCACUUCCAGGGCAGGGGCCUAGGUUCAACCCCUGGUAGGGGGA